UACAGAGGCCCCAAGCGUUGUUCGGAAUUACUGGGCGUAAAGGGUGCGUAGGUUGCGUGGUAAGUCAUUUGCAAAAGCUCCAGGCUCAACUUGGAAAUCGCAAACGAUACUGCCUCGCUUGAGUUCUUAAGAGGGAGUUGGAAUUCACGGAGUAGCAGUGAAAUGCGUAGAGAUCGUGAGGAACACCAAAGGCGAAGGCAGGCUCCUGGGAAGAAACUGACACUGAGGCACGAAGGCCAAGGUAGCAAACGGG
This 253-nucleotide ribosomal RNA is filed under the name uncultured bacterium. RNAcentral's name for it is "partial 16S ribosomal RNA". It matches the Rfam family "Bacterial small subunit ribosomal RNA", at positions 524 to 776 of the family's 1533-position model. The record is from RNAcentral.